GCCGGGGUGUUGGAAUUGGUAGACAAGCACGCUUGAGGGGCGUGUGGGCGCAAGCUCGUGGGAGUUCGAGUCUCCCCCUCGGCA
Molecule: transfer RNA, 84 nt
Filed under: Candidatus Woesebacteria bacterium
Lineage: Bacteria; Candidatus Woeseibacteriota
Description: tRNA-Leu
Source: RNAcentral